GAUGAACGCUAGCUACAGGCUUAACACAUGCAAGUCGAGGACCGGCGCACGGGUGCGUAACGCGUAUCGAACCUGCCUCAUACUCGGGGAUAGCCUUGCGAAAGUAAGAUUAAUACCCGGCGGUAUGAGAUGGCGAUGCGUCCCAUUAGCUUGUUGGUGAGGUAACGGCUCACCAAGGCAUCGAUGGGUAGGGGUUCUGAGAGGAAGGUCCCCCACAUUGGAACUGAGACACGGUCCAAACUCUACGGGAGGCAGCAGUGAGGAAUAUUGGUCAAUGGACGAAAGUCUGAACCAGCCAAGUAGCGUGCAGGAUGACGGCCUCUGGGUUGUAAACUGCUUUUAGUUGGGAAUAUGUACCAUCAGAAAAAGGACCGGCUAAUUCCGUGCCAGCAGCCGCGGUAAUACGGAAGGUCCAGGCGUUAUCCGGAUUUAUUGGGUUUAAAGGGAGCGCAGGCGGCGGCGUAAGUCAGUUGUGAAAUCGGCGGCUUAACCGCCAUUGCAGUUGAUACUGCGUGCUUGAGUGCACACAGGGAUGUUGGAAUUCAUGGUGUAGCGGUGAAAUGCUUAGAUAUCAUGAAGAACUCCGAUCGCGAAGGCAUAUGUCCGGAGUGCAACUGACGCUGAGGCUCGAAAGUGUGGGUAUCAAACAGGAUUAGAUACCCUGGUAGUCCACACAGUAAACGAUGAAUACUCGCGGUGGUC
RNAcentral lists this ribosomal RNA (702 nucleotides) under uncultured bacterium. RNAcentral's name for it is "bacterial SSU rRNA". It matches the Rfam family "Bacterial small subunit ribosomal RNA", at positions 28 to 827 of the family's 1533-position model. The record is from RNAcentral.